Molecule: long non-coding RNA, 1168 nt
Filed under: Triticum aestivum (bread wheat)
Lineage: Eukaryota; Viridiplantae; Streptophyta; Magnoliopsida; Poales; Poaceae
Description: long non-coding RNA (TAES_LNC014400)
Source: RNAcentral
CCGUCACUGCAUCAGGUUCGUUCUUUUCAUGUUGUUCCCUCAACUCCGAGCAGAAUAGAAAGGGGAGGGAGAGAGGGUGCCGUCGGGCAAUGGAUACUGGGGGCGCGGCCGAUUUGGCUGCAGAUGAGGAGGUGCUAGGCUGCUGUGGCUGCCAUGGCUGGGGGGGAGGGGGACGACAGCCGUGGCUCGGCUGGGGGAGGUGCGCGCCCGUCGUGGCUGAAGACCAGACGGUGGGAGGGGUGUGGCCGCCGCCGUGGCUGGGGACCAGACGCGAGAGGGGCGUGGCCGCCGCCGGGCAAUGGGUUUGUCGAGGAGGGAGGCGCUGGAAGGGAGGAGCUGGGCGCUGCUGCUAUAGAUAUGACAUGCAUCCAUGGUGUGGCUUGCUGGAGCUGGUGCUACUGCCCGCUUCUACUAGAGAGAACAGAGAGAAAGAGAGUAGAGAUAUGAGAGAUUGAGAGAUGCUGUGAUUGCUGCACAUUAAUAUAGAUGUAUGGUGCUUCUUUCAUGAUGUAUGAUGUUGUAUGAUGUGUUUGCUGCACAUUUAGAUAUAGAUCAGAGAGAUAGGUUGCUACUAAUUGCUGGUGCUAUUGCUAGUAAUUUGCCACUGAGCGCUGCUGCUAUUUGAUUUCAUUUGUAUUUUUUACUGAUUGCUAGUGACUGUUGCAAGUUUAUUUGCUACUAGGAGAUAACAUUUACAUAGCUAUUUGCGACUGAUUGUUGAUAGUUAUUUGCUACUGGUUGCUGCACAUCUAUAUGAUGUAUGGUUCAUUCGUUUUUGUUUCAGGUUUUGGUAAUGGACGAUCAGAGUUAUUUUGAACUUUUGCAAAGUGAUGUCGGAUUGAAUGAUUUGCACUGGACCAAAGAAGAACAAAUGGAUCUCGAAAAGGAUGAAGAAUAACAAACUGAUCUCGAAGGGCCUGCAGAACCUACCCCUCCUAUGACAGCAAGGUCUUUGAAAGCAAAGGGGAAGAAAUCAAGCGCCUCGAAACCAAGCGCUUCGAAGACAGUGAACUUGUUUGUCUCGAAUAUCACUCUGAGCUUGAAGAAACUGAGUCAAUGUAGCCGCCUCUUGGUGAGAAGGUGUCACUAGUUCUCCCAUGUUAUCGUAGCGGUAGUCUACACGAUUUCCACGCUCAUCUUCUAUUAUCAUGUUAUGCAGGAUGAUACA